AUUGAACGCUGGCGGCAGGCCUAACACAUGCAAGUCGAGCGGGUGGCGGACGGGUGAGUAAUGUCUGGGCAACUGCCUGAUGGAGGGGGAUCACUACUGGAAGCGGUAGCUGAUACCGCAUUCCAUCGGAUGUGCCCAGAUGGGAGUAGCUAGGUGGUGGGGUAAAGGCUUACCAAGGCGACGAUCCCUAGCUGGUCUGAGAGGAUGACCAGCCACACUGGAACUGAGACACGGUCCAGACUCCUACGGGAGGCAGCAGUGGGGAAUAUUGCACAAUGGGCGAAAGCCUGAUGCAGCCAUGCCGCGUGUAUGAAGAAGGCCUUCGGGUUGUAAAGUACUUUAAGCUGGGAGGCGUUACCAGCAGAAGAAGCACCGGCUAACUCCGUGCCAGCCGCCGCGGUAAUAC
Molecule: ribosomal RNA, 406 nt
Filed under: uncultured bacterium
Lineage: Bacteria
Description: partial 16S ribosomal RNA
Rfam family: Bacterial small subunit ribosomal RNA
Source: RNAcentral